RNAcentral lists this ribosomal RNA (400 nucleotides) under uncultured bacterium. RNAcentral's name for it is "bacterial SSU rRNA". It matches the Rfam family "Bacterial small subunit ribosomal RNA", at positions 355 to 768 of the family's 1533-position model. The record is from RNAcentral.
CCGAAAAUAUUGGACAAUGGGCGAAAGCCUGAUCCAGCGACGUUGCGUGAGGGAUGAAGACGUUCGCGCCGUAAACCUCUUUUAUAGGGAAAGAAGUCAUUGACGGUACUCUAUGAAUAAGCGGGGGCUAAUUCUGUGCCAGCAGCAGCGGUAAUACAGAACCCGCAAGCGUUAUCCGGAUUUAUUGGGCGUAAAGUGUUCGUAGGCGGUUUGGUAAGUCUGGUUUUAAACCUUUCGGGCUCAACCCGGAAGCCGAACCGGAUACUGCCAGACUUGAAGAUGCUAGGGGCUAUCGGAACGCACGGUGUAGGGGUGAAAUCCGUUGAUAUCGUGCGGAACACCAAAAGCGAAGGCAGAUAGCUGGGGCAAUCUUGACGCUGAGGAACGAAAGCGUGGGGAG